This 387-nucleotide ribosomal RNA is filed under the name Homonota fasciata (South American marked gecko). Its description in RNAcentral is "partial 12S ribosomal RNA". It matches the Rfam family "Bacterial small subunit ribosomal RNA", at positions 793 to 1373 of the family's 1533-position model. Lineage: Eukaryota; Metazoa; Chordata; Lepidosauria; Squamata; Phyllodactylidae. The record is from RNAcentral.
UACUCAGCCAUAAACCAAGAUAGCUUCCCCAUACCACUAUCUGCCGGAGAACUACAAGUGAAAAACUUGAAACUCUAAGGACUUGACGGUGCCCCACACCGACCUAGAGGAGCCUGUCCUUUAAUCGAUACUCCACGCUUUACCCAACCCCCCCUAGCCCCCAGCCUAUAUACCGCCGUCGCCAGCCCACCUACUGAUAGAGACAAUAGUCGGCACAACAGCACCUCGCUAACACGUCAGGUCAAGGUGUAGCUAAUGGGGCGGACAGAGAUGGGCUACAUUUGCUGACCACAGCAAACACUCAACCACAAGCCACAUGAAAUAAAGGCUAACAGGCGGAUUUAGCAGUAAACUUUAGGGUAAGACCUGCCCAGUUGAACCCCGCUC